AUUGAACGCUGGCGGCAUGCCUUACACAUGCAAGUCGAACGGCAGCAUGGAGAGCUUGCUCUCUGAUGGCGAGUGGCGAACGGGUGAGUAAUGCAUCGGAACGUACCGUGUAAUGGGGGAUACGGUAGCGAAAGUUACGCUAAUACCGCAUACGACCUGAGGGUGAGAGCAGGGGAGCGCAAGACCUUGCGUUAUACGAGCGGCCGAUGUCAGAUGAGCUAGUUGGUGAGGUAAAGGCUCACCAAGGCGACGAUCUGUAGCGGGUCUGAGAGGAUGAUCCGCCACACUGGGACUGAGACACGGCCCAGACUCCUACGGGAGGCAGCAGUGGGGAAUUUUGGACAAUGGGGGCAACCCUGAUCCAGCCAUGCCGCGUGAGUGAAGAAGGCCUUCGGGUUGUAAAGCUCUUUCGGCCGGGAAGAAAUCGCACAGGCUAAUACUCUGUGUGGAUGACGGUACCGGCAUAAGAAGCACCGGCUAACUACGUGCCAGCAGCCGCCGUAA
RNAcentral lists this ribosomal RNA (504 nucleotides) under uncultured bacterium. RNAcentral's name for it is "partial 16S ribosomal RNA". It matches the Rfam family "Bacterial small subunit ribosomal RNA", at positions 30 to 523 of the family's 1533-position model. The record is from RNAcentral.